Caretta caretta (loggerhead turtle) is the source of this 2024-nucleotide long non-coding RNA. RefSeq lists it as uncharacterized. Lineage: Eukaryota; Metazoa; Chordata; Testudines; Cheloniidae. The record is from RefSeq and is a predicted model, not a curated record.
AUGUCUCUUGCCCCUCUCAAUGUUUAUGACUCAGUGCUGCUAAGACCCCAUCAGUGAUAUAGGCCUGUCCUGCAGUGCUGCUGUUCCUCCACUUUGCUCUGUCUUUCUCUGCUCUUACACUGCACAUAAUAGGAGGAGCAGUGGUGCAAGGCUGUUCAGCAAGUGCUUAUGAAGGACAGCCACCAGCAGCACACUCAAAAUACUCUAAGGAGAGGGGGCAGCACUCCAUGAAGAGGGGGAGAAGCACAUUACAAGGAGGAACUGGUUCAGACCUGUUUUCUGACUACUCCACCUGCUAAGCUUUCUACCGAGACUAUUAAGGCCCUGAUCCUGAUGGAAUUUAUGCACGUGCUUAAUUUCAGGAAUGUGAGCCAUCCCACUGAAGUCAAUGGGAUUAGUCACAUGUAUAAAUUUAAGGUGCCUUUGAAAGAUCAGGACUGACAUCAACAGAAGAGAGACAAGGUAUUUGAAAAGAAUGGAAAUGUUUGGAAUUUUUCUGCUCCAGACAUUGCAGCUCAGAAAGAGCCAUCUUCAUGCCCUGAUUGAUCCUGCAUCCACAGCUGCCGGAUUGCACCCGUGCCAACCCCGCCCAGCCCACCAGUGAUGUCUCUAGGUCAAAAUGUCAAGCACUGUGGUAUGUUCCGUCUAUGAAUCGAGGACAGGAAAUGAGGAUUGUUCCCACCAUCGUCAUGGAGCGUUAUAUAGUUUGUAACCCUAUAUGGUUUGAGUCCUGGCUGUCUGAGAGAUGUACCAAUGAAAUCACCUGAGAUAACUAUGCUAGCAGGCUAUAGAUUUGAAGGCUGAGACUUGAUUUCAACGGAGCUAUAAUAAUUUACACUGCUCAAGUUCUGCCCUGGAAACUAUAAACUCUCUGUAUUUCCCUAUCUCCAUCUAUGUCUCCUCAGUUCCCAUACACAAACACCUAUAUGCCUCCCCUGGUUCUUUGUACCCCCUUCCAGGUCCAUCUCCCUUGCCCACAUUCCUUGCCCUUCUUUCCUAUGCUCCUGGGGUCCCCUGCCCACAUUGUAACCCUCUUUUCAUUCCACAUCAACACCCUGCCCUCCUCCAAUGCAUCGCCUCCUUCAGCUUCCUUCAGAGUCCACCCAUACCAAGGCUGGGAGCAUGGCUCCAUGCCACCCUUCUAUGUGUCUCCGAUUCUCUAUUCUCAGUCCAGGUCCCCCAACUUCCCUCCCCUUUAUUCCCCUUCCCAAAUUCUUGAACCAAUACAUUUCCUCUGGUUCCUUGCCCCACAAUCCGUUCCCCACUUCUGCCCCAGCUGAGUCAAGCAGCUAGAGUUAAACUGACCUUCUAUAUUAUAAACCGUUCUAUUACUGGCCUUGAACUUUAGACACAUUACAAUCCCCUUUUUAUUAAAGGCUCAUCUCUUCAGCAAAGCCAACAAAUAAAUGUGGAGCUUCUAGAUCAGUGGUUCUCAACCAGGGGUACAUGUAUCCCCUGGGAGUAUGCAGAGGUCUUACGAGUGGGCGGGGGUACAUCAACUCAUCUAGAUAUUUGCCUAGUUUUACAACAGGCUAUAUAAAAAAACACUAGCGAAGUCAGUACAAACUAACAUUUCAUACCGACAAUGACUUGUUUAUACUGCUCUAUAUACUAUAGACUGAAAUGUAAGUACAAUAUUUAUAUUCCAAUUUAUGUAUUUUAUAAUGAUAUGGUAAAAAUGAGAAAGUAAGCAAUUUUUCGGUAAUAGUGGCUAUGACACAUUUGUAUUUUUAUGUCUGAUAUUUUAAGCAAGUAGUUUUUAAGUGAGGUAAAACUUUGGGGUAUGCAAGACAAAUCAGACUCCUGAAAGGGGUAUAGUAGUCUGGAAAGGUUCAGAGCUACUGGACUAGAUCACACCAGUCAGGAAAUAUAAUAACCCUAAAAAAAGCAUCAUAAAAAAGUAAAUUCCAGCUAAAUCUUCAGACUACCAUGGUUAGGCCCAAGACUCUGUCCUUUUGUGCCAGGCACAGCUCAGGUGGCAGGGAGGGGGAAGGGGCACAAGUGGCUAUAAGAUACCUUUGUUC